Molecule: ribosomal RNA, 386 nt
Filed under: uncultured bacterium
Lineage: Bacteria
Description: bacterial SSU rRNA
Rfam family: Bacterial small subunit ribosomal RNA
Source: RNAcentral
AUUGAACGCUGGCGGCAUGCCUUACACAUGCAAGUCGAACGGCAGCGCGGGGCAACCUGGCGGCGAGUGGCGAACGGGUGAGUAAUAUAUCGGAACGUACCCUAGAGUGGGGGAUAACGUAGCGAAAGUUACGCUAAUACCGCAUACGCACUAAGGUGGAAAGUGGGGGAUUCGCAAGAACCUCAUGCUCAUGGAGUGGCCGAUAUCUGAUUAGCUAGUUGGUGAGGUAAAGGCUCACCAAGGCAACGAUCAGUAGCUGGUUUGAGAGAACGACCAGCCACACUGGAGCUGAGACACGGUCCAGACUCCUACGGGAGGCAGCAGUGGGGAAUUUUGGACAAUGGGGGCAACCCUGAUCCAGCAAUGCCGCGUGAGUGAAGAAGGCC